This 506-nucleotide ribosomal RNA is filed under the name uncultured bacterium. RNAcentral's name for it is "partial 16S ribosomal RNA". It matches the Rfam family "Bacterial small subunit ribosomal RNA", at positions 28 to 523 of the family's 1533-position model. The record is from RNAcentral.
GAUGAACGCUAGCUACAGGCUUAACACAUGCAAGUCGAGGGGUAACAAGAGAAAAGCUUGCUUUUCUUGUUGACGACCGGCGCACGGGUGAGUAACGCGUAUCCAACCCGCCUAUAACUAGGGAAUAACCUUGCGAAAGUAAGACUAAUACCCUAUGAUUUCCUUUGAUGACAUCAGAUUAGGAAUAAAGAUUUAUCGGUUAUAGAUGGGGAUGCGUCUGAUUAGCUUGUUGGCGGGGUAACGGCCCACCAAGGCAACGAUCAGUAGGGGUUCGAGGAGGAAGGUCCCCCACAUUGGAACUGAGACACGGUCCAAACGCCUACGGGAGGCAGCAGUGAGGAAUAUUGGUCAAUGGGCGGAAGCCUGAACCAGCCAAGUAGCGUGCAGGAUGACGGCCCUAUGGGUUGUAAACUGCUUUUAUACAGGAAUAAAGUUAGCCACGUGUGGUUAUUUGUAGGUUCUGUAUGAAUAAGGACCGGCUAAUUCCGUGCCAGCCGCCGCGGUAA